This is a long non-coding RNA of Phyllostomus discolor (pale spear-nosed bat), 335 nucleotides long. RefSeq lists it as uncharacterized. The record is from RefSeq and is a predicted model, not a curated record. The transcript has 3 exons. Lineage: Eukaryota; Metazoa; Chordata; Mammalia; Chiroptera; Phyllostomidae.
GCCGGGGCUUGGAACAGAGAUGGAGACAGACUCUGACUUCCUGUGACAGGAAGGAGACAGGUUCUAACUUCCUGUUACAGGUUGUAACUUCCUGUGACAGAACAGGGAUAGUUUCUAAGUUCCUGUGACAGAAUGGUGACAGCUCCCAACUCCCUGUGACAGGAGGGAGACAGGUUCUAACUUCCUGUUACAGGUUCUAACUUCUUGCAACAGAACGGUGAUAGCUUCCAACUUCCUGUGACAGGAGGGAGACGGGUUCUAACUUCCUGUGACAGAAUGGUGAUAGCCCCCAACUUCCUGUGACAGGAGGGAGACAGAUUCUAACUUCCUGUUAC